This 53-nucleotide transfer RNA is filed under the name Marmota marmota marmota (Alpine marmot). It matches the Rfam family "tRNA". Rfam says of the family: Transfer RNA (tRNA) molecules are approximately 80 nucleotides in length. RNAcentral also lists the same sequence under 1 other name. The record is from Rfam by way of RNAcentral. Lineage: Eukaryota; Metazoa; Chordata; Mammalia; Rodentia; Sciuridae.
GGGGAUGUAGCUCAGUGGUAGAGUGCCCUUGGGUUCAAUCCCCAGUAUCUCCA